This 502-nucleotide ribosomal RNA is filed under the name uncultured Diversispora. Its description in RNAcentral is "SSU rRNA". It matches the Rfam family "Eukaryotic small subunit ribosomal RNA", at positions 591 to 1092 of the family's 1831-position model. Lineage: Eukaryota; Fungi; Glomeromycota; Glomeromycetes; Diversisporales; Diversisporaceae. The record is from RNAcentral.
CCAAUAGCGUAUAUUAAAGUUGUUGCAGUUAAAAAGCUCGUAGUUGAACUUCGGGGUCUACCCAUUGGUCAGGCUUAAUUGUCUGCACUGGUGAGAUGGAUCUCUACCUUCUGAGGAACUUUCAUGCCAUUUAUUUGGUGUGAUGGGAAAUCAGGACUGUUACUUUGAAAAAAUUAGAGUGUUUAAAGCAGACUAUCGUCUGAAUACAUUAGCAUGGAAUAAUGAAAUAGGACGGACUGAUUCUAUUUCGUUGGUUUCUAGGAUCACCGUAAUGAUUAAUAGGGAUAGUUGGGGGCAUUAGUAUUCAAUUGUCAGAGGUGAAAUUCUUGGAUUUAUUGAAGACUAACUACUGCGAAAGCAUUUGCCAAGGAUGUUUUCAUUAAUCAAGAACGAAAGUUAGGGGAUCGAAGACGAUCAGAUACCGUCGUAGUCUUAACCAUAAACUAUGCCGACUAGGGAUCGGACGAAGUUAAUUUUUUAAUGACUCAUUCGGCGCCUUACG